This 1223-nucleotide long non-coding RNA is filed under the name Linum usitatissimum (flax). Its description in RNAcentral is "long non-coding RNA (LUSI_LNC007501)". Lineage: Eukaryota; Viridiplantae; Streptophyta; Magnoliopsida; Malpighiales; Linaceae. The record is from RNAcentral.
UUGUCUGUUGGGUUAGAGGAGCACGAAGUUGAAGUUGGCUAAGGCCUUUGGGCCUCCAACAAGAUAUGUCGCAAUACUAGUAAUCUAGGUGUGUUUCUCACUUCUCACUUCUAUCGUCCUUCUCUUCCUGUAAUCAACAGUCUAUGUCAUAAGACCACUUCUUGGGUGGAAAUCUUGGGUGUAGUGUCUUUUUUUACUAGCACAAUCAAUUCAAUAUGAAUCACUGCCCUUAACCUUAAGAGGGACCAUCCACAAAUGUCGACCUUGCCUCUGUGCUCCAUGGUUAUAGAGUUUUUUUUAGUCUAGAAUCUAUUUCCAGACUCAUAGGGUUGACUAACAACGCUUCAAACUUGUUGACGAGUCCCAACUCUCCUUCUUUCUAGACUUCAACACUGCUGCCGAACUCGUCGCUCUAACCGGGGAUCCUGAUGCGUCUCCGACUAUCAAAUCACAUCCUAGGGACCUACGUGUUCUUCACUGGCUUAUCACCCACUUCUUCCUUCCUAGGAGAGCCCAUCAAUCGUCCAUUAUAAGACUUGAUGUAUUCAUAAUAGCCAGUGUAGUAAAGGCAUUGCAAUUAGACUCUCUAAUCUCAUAUGCAUCUAUAUGAUCAAUCAGCACCUGGUGGUGAAUACGUUGAGGAUCCUUUCCCUUACUGUGCCUUGAUUACUCACUUCCUCCAUGAAAUCGGCAUAAGGUUCGAGGAUACGUCAUUUCCCACAAGUGGACUACUCACUCUGUUUGAUACCUUCUUGAGCAUACUAGUAUGUAUUUAUUUCCUUCUUCAUUAUAUAUUUUGGCAUGUUAUCACAUUUUUAUUUUAUAUUUCAGUUUUUUAUUCUUAUUAUAUGUUUUUUUCAUCCGCUAAUUACUAUGUGACGGCAACUGACGAGCGUCAGCUGGGAUGAAAUUCUGUUGUGGUGCCUGAUGUUUUCGAAAGCAGCACUGACAAUGAUGAAGAUUUUAGGGUGGAAUAAAUGGGCAGGGGAGGGGGAUUGAAGGAGGGUAAGGCUAAGUUUGUUCAAUCUUCUGUUGUUUUAUUUCCUAUGAACAAUUUUCUAUUAACGAUGUUUGUGUUGAUUGUGUUCUUUUUGCUUUUGUAUUGAAUUCCUUUACAUUUGAACUGGUUGAUGUUUAAGGUUAUAAUCAUUUUAUUUGGUUUUUAUUAGUGUGUAACCUACCUUAUGGUUUAACUAUCGUAGUUACAAUAGCUGGAAUGAUAA